Molecule: unclassified non-coding RNA, 376 nt
Filed under: uncultured bacterium
Lineage: Bacteria
Description: contains 16S-23S intergenic spacer region
Source: RNAcentral
UCCGAGUUGACCCCGGCAGUCUCUUACGAGUCCCCACCAUUACGUGCUGGCAACAUAAGACAAGGGUUGCGCUCGUUGCGGGACUUAACCCAACAUCUCACGACACGAGCUGACGACAGCCAUGCACCACCUGUGCAUCGGCCCCGAAGGGCUGCCGUAUUUCUACGGCAUUCCAGUGCAUGUCAAGCCUUGGUAAGGUUCUGCGCGUUGCGUCGAAUUAAACCACAUACUCCACCGCUUGUGCGGGCCCCCGUCAAUUUCUUUGAGUUUUAACCUUGCGGCCGUACUCCCCAGGCGGAGAGCUUAAUGCGUUAGCUGCGUCACCGACACGCAUGCGUGCCGACAACUAGCUCUCAUCGUUUACAGCGUGGACUAC